GGUCUCGAUCACCUGACCUUGUGAUCCGCCCGCCUCGGCCUCCCAAAGUGCUGGGAUUACAGACGUGAGCCAACUGUUCGAUUUUUCCUUUCCGUAUUCUGUUUUUUGGAAGCGAGUCACUAAAUCCAGCCCACACAUUGGGGGGAAAGAAAUUGAGCUCCACCUCCCGGAGUGGGAAGCCACUCCUCAGACCAGGAUUAGAAGAUUUUUCUUAGGGCUUCUAUUUUCACCCAGUGCAUGGUUCUAGAUUUCAGGUCACCUUUGAGUCAAGGACACGAUGGGGGAAUCCUGGAGGAAAAAUCAACAGGAAAUUCACCAACAGUUUGCUCUUACUUGAAGUUGUUUCCUUGGCAGAUUCACCCACUAUCAUUUGCUUUUCAGAGUCCUUAGAUAGCUGCUCUAUGAUUUAUUUGCAGGGUUUUCAGUUGCUUUUAGUAGGAGCAAGACAGAGUGAAGGGUGCAUAUACCAUCUUGAUUGGAACCAGAAACCCCUCAUUUAUUUUUUAUUCUCCAAUUAUGUCACGUACUCCCAUUCACUCAUUCACAUAUCCCUCAUUCUUUUAUGCAUUAUUAUAUACCUGCUUAUAAAAUCAUACAUAUGUCAAUGAAUACCCCUGAUUUGACCACAUAAUCAGGUGUUAUGCUAGUCACUACAGAUACAGACAUGAAAUAUUGUUACUAUCUCAAAAAAUUCUUGGGCUACAAAGAAAACAGAUGAAUUAUUAGAUGUAAAUACAGUGGAAUGACUGCUAUGAUAUAUGGAAGCCCCAACUGCCUUAAAUGAGGGGAUCUGUAAGGAAACAGCCGCCUGGCUUCAGGAAGUUGUCUCCUUUGGGGACAAGUCAACGUGGGGUAGGCAAGCAUUUCACUUUGAGAGGACAGCAUGCACUGAGGCACUGGAUUAGGAAAUCAAGGGGGCACGUUUGAAGAAGUGGUGUCUUACCUCCAACCUAGGCCUCCCUGAGAUUUCAGGACAGGGGUAUGACUGAACACAAUCCUAGAGUGGAGCACGAGGACUCCUCCAAGGUCAUCCCUGAGUUUAGAAAAUUUACAUUUGGUGGUUGGUCUCUCCUAUCCUAUUCUCACCCAUCCUGGGAAGUUCCAUCUGCUUGGUUUUCUAUUAUUUGCAGUAGUGUAGGCUUUGUUUCAAGGACCCUGGCCAGUUUGUCAGAGGACAUGCACAUCAUCUAUGAAGGGCAGAAAAAGCAGCAGAGCCUGACUUUGCAGCUGCGUCUGAAAAAGGGUCAGAGUAACCUGGCUCCCACCCCGUGUUCAAGUCCAAGAGGACCCAAGUCCUGAGAUUGACCAGUUAUCCUCAAGAGCAUUCCAUCUGUCUCUUUUCUCCUCGAUUCCAACCCCUGGGGGCUAAGAUUCAUUCCCGCGAUACGUGCAGGUCCUACAGCCUCUCUGGCCCUUCCCCUGUGCUUGGCCAAUUCAUUCAGCCAUUUAUUCAUUCAUGCACGCGUGGAUGUAUCCAAGUGUAUUCCACUCAUAUUCUAUGCCAGACCUUGGUUUCACCAUCCCUUUCCUAUGAAAAUUUUGUUUUGCCUUCUACGCUAUUUCCAUUUUUUCUACCUCAAUGAUUAUUUCUUCCACUUUCUUUUGUUGGAUUCUAUUUCUUUCUCUACUCUAUAAACGUGGAUGGACCACCUUUGAACUGUUCUCAUAAUCCGCCCUACUCCCACAUUCUUUAGCCCUGCUGUACUCACAGCCAAGGCAGCUGUGCAGUCCAGUGGUGAGACAGGGAAGGGAUGCAAGCGUUUUACUCAGUCACUUAGUCUGCCUGCCAGAGCCUCAAUUCCAGUAGCUGGGAUUUUCCCCUUAUUUCUGAGACAUUAAUGGGAUCCCUAGUUAUAGUCAUCUCUUGUGCUUGUGUCCCCUGUCCCUAAAUUUCUCCCUUGAAAAUGUGUUGGGCUCUUGCUGCUCCUAGCCUUUUGUUUCCUCCUAUAAUUGGAGCUCCUUCACCUGCAAACUCAACACCAGGGCCAGCCCCCCAUCUUGGAACACAGAAUCAGUUCCCUGUGGAUCUGGUCCAGUCUUCACUGCAUGCUUCAGUAUAAAGAGAAAAGCACAAACUGGGGUCAGAUUCAUCUGUGCUCCAAUUCAAAAUUGUGUGAGGCAAGUUGUGCAACUCUUUGAUCUCAGUUUUCUUAUUGUAAAAUUGACCACAGGCAAAAUUUCUGUUAUCUACUUUCUGUUAUCUACCUAUCUUAUCUAUCUAUCUACCUAACAAAACCCUAUGUUUAUAUAGAUAUCAAGUAAUCACAAACUUCUGGGGAGGAGGUUGAAGCCCCCAGUGGGUUAAUCUUGAUCUAAGCCAAUCAAAGUAAUUCCUUUAUUUUGCCAACAACUGCUUUAAGUAUGUGCAUGUGUUGAAAUUCUGGCCAAUGAGGCAUGAGGGGUAUGUUUGCUGGGAGACACAGGGAAAGCAUUUCUGCAAAAGAAAAAGGAGCCUCAGGGAAAGAAACACAUACUUUUCUGCCCCAGAAUGUUGUUAUCUUAUGUGAUGCCUGGGCUGUGUUAGCCAUUGCAUGAGGCUGCAUGUGGCAGACCAAAAGGACAUGCCAUUCCCCCGGGGGAAUGGCAAGGUAGAUUAAUGAGAAAACCUGGUUCUGGAUAACACUGUUAAGCCGCUUAAUCAACCCUGAAACUCUGCCUCCUCCAGUCUUCUUAUUGCAUAAGACUUUUUUUUUUUUUUUGUUUAAGUCAUUUUUAGUUGAGUUAAUGCUACUCACAGGCAAAACUAUUCUGAUAUACGGCAUUAGAAUACCUAUCUUACCAUGUUCAAAUAAGAGACUCUCUGCUCAUCUUUUAGAUCUCAGUCCAAAUGUCACCUCCUCAAGAAAGUCUUCCCUGAUUGUUCAUCCGAGCUCACAUUGUUCUGUCAUACAUUUGCCAUUAGCACUGUGUAUCGUUCCUUCUUUUCUUUCAUAGCACUGACGAGCGUUUGUUUAUCUGGUUAUUCACCCUCUCCCUCACUAAUCUAUAAGCUCUGGGAAGGCUGGCAGUGUUUCUUUUGCUGACCACUGUGUCUCUUGUAGCUAGAAUGGUGCCCAACAUGUAAUUGGUUCUUAAAUAUUUGUUAAAGAAUAAAAAUUAAUACAUGAAUAUCAAUAGGAAAAAAAACUGGUACAUAGCAGGAAAGUUUAUCUUUGUGUCCUUUCUGAGACUGAAAGUUGAUCAACUCUCUCCUUUUUUUCAUGUUGACAGAUGACUUUGUACCCAGUCAUUGGCUGAUGUGUUUCAAAACAACUUUAAAUGUACUUUGAAAUGCGCCAUUAUUUCAUCCCCUCAGGAGCCGGUGCAAUUCCCGCCACCCCUUGCUACUAUUCUUUCAGCAUUCAUGACAGUCAAGCAAACCCUUUCUUUGAUUUUUCUUCCUCUACAGGCUCUAGGUGACUGAUUAGUCAUUACUUGUGAAUAAUGGCCAGGGAGGUUGCUGAGCCAUGGAGGAAUCUGGCCACCUGGCCACUGAGCACUCAGCUCUCAGCUAGUAAGAUAAAAGCAAUUUUGCCACCAACACCAUCCUAAUAGGAUGUCCAAAGAGUUUCCUUCCACUGUUCAGUAGGGACCAUGAGGAUCAUGAAUGGAAGGUGAUAUGAGGGUUUGGGGAGGAAUAAACUGGAACAGCUUGUCAUCCCUCAGGAGUAUUUCGGAAACAAGCCAGCACACCAUGGUAAUUUAUUUUUGUGACACAUUAGUUUGCCUUGGAGGGAGAAAGUAUGAGAGUUUGGAGAGUUAGAGUUUACAGGGAGAGGGGCAGAGCUUAUCCUUAGUUCUCUCUUAUCCACUGACAUGGAACAACAAGGAUGGAUGGCAUUAGUAACAAUAAUAAAAAUUACAGGCUCAAAGGAAAUGGAGUUGACAGCAGAGAGUACACAUGGUUAGUUAUCUAGUCCAGCAUUUCUCAGAAGAUAUUUGGCAGAGCACAAGUCUCUCAAAUGCCCUUUGCUAAAAGGUUCAUGGUUAAAUUACUGUUCUUGGAGAACAGCAUGCACUUACUUGUCCACCACCCCACCCCCAGCCCUUUUGACUGUACUUUGCUCAGUAAAUAGGAAGGUCCCUGCAUUAUAAAUAAAUCAACUGGCUUUGUCUAACCCAGUGUUCUGGUGUUCAUUUCACCAAGGAAACCCUUAUUUUAAAAAAUGAAUAUUAACAGCUUCUGGAAGGAAGAUAUUUUAGGAAAUGCUGAUGUGAGCAAGGGUGGUUACUAGGUACUCUUAUCUAAUAUUUACUGAGAAAUUUAUUUAUUCAUUCAUUUAUUAGAGAAAGAUAUAUUGAGAGACUCCUUUGUGUAACGUAAUGGGCUGGGAGCAACGAACACAGAUUUGGCCAAUGCCUGCCUGAAGCUUAUAAUCUAGUGCACAAGACGAAAUCAAUUUCCCAAUUAAUUUCUUUUUUAUUACUGUGGUGAGUCUACAAUGAGGAGCGUAAGAUAUAUGUAAAUUUAAAUAAUGGUAUAAAAUAGAUGGUUAGGGGUAACCAGGGAAGCCAUGCUGGUUGUCCGGGACCGGGGAUGUCCUGUGAUGGGUGACUUUCAGUUCUAAAACAAAGACAGUCCUGGGCAAAUCAGAAUGGUUGCUUACCCUAAUAGACCAUGACUCCUGGAGUGCCAUCUGAAAAUCUUAUUAUGGCAGAGAGAACUCUGCCAGGCCGGAGACCUGUUCUCUGGGGUUGCUUCAGCUCCCUGAGCCUGACUUUCUGUCUCUGGGGAGUGGAGGUGAUGAAGUCUCCUUUCUCUUAUGUUUUUUGGGAAUAACAAGUGGAGUGAUUCCUAUAGAAAGCCUUUACCAGAUAUCACACGCUUCCUAAGCACAAGGGAUGAGUAUUCCUUUAGGGAAACUGUAGUUUGUCACUCCUUGAAGGAAAGCCCCUAUUUCUCCAGAAGAGGGUUUUCAGAGCACAUCUCUCGCCACACAUCCAGGUUUCUAAAUCCUCCAGCAAGAAGCGUUUUUCACAGAUCCAAGAACAGAAGCACCUGCGUAAGUUCACAUGGGAGGUGUAAAUCAUGGAGGGGAGCCAUUGAGAUGCUUCAAGACAGCACUUCCUCCAGGCCAGAGAAGGCCUCAGCCCAAGAAGCAGCUUCCUGCUGCUAGGCAGGGUGGGGACAGAGGGCAGUGCCUGGCCUCUGCAGAACCAAAGAGCAGGCUUGCAGUGGGCUUGUGUACUCAGGCGAGUCUCAUGAUCUUCUGGGGUUUUAAUGUCUUCCUCCGUAAGGUGGGAAUAUUGAUUUUUAUUUCAUCCAAUUAUUGGGAACUUUAUACUACUGCUACUAAUAUAGUCAGAAUUUAAUGAAUUUACCAUGCACUAGAAAUUGUGCCAUGUGUUUACAUAUACAUUUAAUCACCACAAAAAGUAGAUUUGGUUAUCUUCCAUCUGACAAAUGUAAAAAAUGGGGCUUAGAGAGGUUAGGAGGCUUGCCAAGGUAGGGUGACCAAUUGUCAUUGUUUGCCCAGGACCAAAAGUCCCACAUCGUGGGCAAUCCCUUAGCCCCAGGGAACCUGGGAUGGUUGGUCAAGCUAGAAAAUCAUACAAUUAGCAAGUAGUGGAGCUGAUAUAUAUUUGAGGUAGAAGAUUAUUUGUUAAAAUUGCUAAAAACACAACCAGCAACAAUUAUUAUUGCCAUUUUAUAUAGUAUGUAUAUAUCAUAUGCUUAUAUAUAAUGUAUACAUAAGAUACAUCAUAUUAUUAAUAUAGUAACACUCAUUAUUUGAUGAACUGCAAUUUCAGUAUAAACAAAGGGCUUCUAGCCUUCUAAGAAAGCCCCUUUCCAUUAAUAAUGCUCAUCUAACAUUAGUGCUACUCAUCAGUAUUUAUAGUUUUCUUCUUUCUGUGCCCAGAACCUUUGAUCUCAGGCAUGACCAGGUGAUUUGUUUUGACCAAUGAAAUGUGAGUGCAAGAGAUGUGCAUCACUUCGGGGCAGAAACAUGCAAGAAUCAGGGUGCAAUUUUUCAUCUUCCUUGCAGUAAAUGCUGAUGGUGCCUCUCCCAUAUCAUUUUUGCUGGCUGGGACACACUCCUCAGCUGCUGUGAGGGUUGGGGUGCUAACAGAUCAUAACUGUCUCUGCUCAGCAGGGUUAAGAGCACCAAAUCCGGAGUCAGGCCACCUAGUUCAAGUCCAGCUCUGACAUGAAAGGCUGUGUGCCCCUAGGCAAGUUGCUUAACAUCUCUGAGCCUUAGUUUUCUUAUCUCUAUAAGGGAGAAUUCCUACCUUAUACCGUUGAUGUGAGGAUUAUAUGAGUAAUGCUUUUAAGACUCUUGUAACAGUUUGGCACAUAGUAAGCCCUAAGGUUGGCUGUUUUUAUUUCUCCUGCUUUACUUGUUCUCUAGCAUAGUAUGACAGUGCAUACCAAGGUUCCUCAUAUGUUGCUCAAAAGACAAUUUUGAUUAACAUGUGGAGAGCCGAAUUCCAGAGAUGCUGAGCAAUUUCUUCAGCAUCACAUGGGGCUUAAUACUGGAGUUUGAAUAAGAACCAAGACAGGAGAAUGAGAGUAAUAACAACAAGUCAGCAAUUACUAUUCACUAGGUACUGCAUUAUCUCAUUUAAUCUUCACAAAAGCAUCUGAGUGGGACAUUAUUAUAACCUUCAUUUUACAGAUGUGGAAAUAGAAGCAAAAAAGGUGAAGUAAAUUUUUACUGUUAGUAGGUAGUGGCAGAGUUAGAAAAAAUAGAAAUUUGAUAUUUUAGGAUGAACUAUUAUUUAGCAACAAAAAUGGGAACUGUAAUUACUAUGUUUAAACAAUGUGUUGAGUAUUAGUUUCUGUUUAGAAGAGUAAACAUGAUUGCUUAUUUAUUUAUACAAGUAUUACAUACAACAUACACUAUUUUAUACUUUGCUCUUUAUAAAGUGACCUUUUAAUUUUAAGAAUAUCUAGAUUUGCAGAAAGAUUGCAAAAAUAGUACAGAGAGUUCUCACCUACCCUUUGCCUGACUUUCCGCAAGGUUAAUAUCUUACAUUACAAUGGUGCACUUGUCAAAACCAUGGAAUUAACAUUGGUACAUUACUAUUAACUAAAAUCCAGACUUUAUUUGGAUUUUGCCAGUUUUUCCACUAAUGCUCUUUGUCUAUUCCAGGGUCUAGUCCAAAGACUACCAAAUCUUAAGUGAACAAAAAGCCUUGGCGAUGAUGUAAAAGUUUGUUUGCUAAUGGAAUAAAGAUUUGAUAUUAGGGCAGUGUAAUUAUAGGUGAUAUUUUUUCCUAUGUUUAAAGCUUUAACACUUUUGUUACAUUAACUAUUUAGGAGAUGUUAUUAUUGGAAGCCUCCUGUACUGUGAGAGGCUGGCAUUGUCCAACUCAAACCAAGUUGUGGACUGGAAGAAGCACAAAUUAUCUGCUGGACCCAUGGUAUGAGGGAAAAGCAUGUGUGAGUAUGUGUUGAGGAGUGUAGGUGAUGGGAGAGCUGGUCCACCGUUUGUCACUAAGGAGGAACAGGAAGUGGCAGGGGCUGGAUGCACCUACAUUCUGCCUUGUCAGUCUGUAAUCCAGUGAUUGGUAAAUCUAGAAGUGACUUCAAAGAUUUCUUCAAAAUUGGCUUCUGAGGUUCUUAGAAAAAACAUUUAUUAAACAUCUACAGUUUUCUAAGCUUUCUGUUGGCUGCCUUACAUAUACUGUCUCCUAGAAUCCUCAAAAUAAGAUGUCUAUAUUCCCUUUUUAUCUUAUUUUAUUUAUUUCUGAGACAGAGUCUCACUCUCUUGCCCAGGCUGGAGUGCAAUGGCAUGAACACAGCUUACUGCAGCCUCAACCUCCUGGGCUAAAGUGAUCCUCCUGCCUCAGCCUCCCAAAGUGCUGUGAUAUCAGAAGGGAGUCACAAUGCCAGGCCCAUAUUCCCAUUUUAAAAUUCAAAAGAGAGGUCAGAGAGGAUAAGUGACUUGCCCAAGGACACACAGCUUGUCAGUGACAGAGCAAGGAUUUAAACUCAGGUUUUUCUGAGCUUAUUGGUUUUUGAUGUUCCAAAUUACACUUUUUUGACAUCUCCUCAAAAAAAGUCUUUUUGGAAUUUGACAUCAAAGGGAGGUCCUAACAUUCUACUGGGCAUUUGGCUAAGAGGCCUGAAGGGAUACCUAGCGAAAGAAUAAGAAGGUUUCAGGAGGCACAGUGGAGUUUUACGUGUGGAUGUGUGUUUGCAGAGUUGAUGUAGAUUUCAAUCUCUCACUGCUCUCUCCCUCAGCUGAACAAUAAUAAGAAAUCUUGUGUCAUCUGGUUAAAACUAGCAUUCUGGAGGUUUUGGAGCGGGGCCAGCAUGUGCAUGAAUGAGCAGGGCUCAGUCAGCCUCCAGGUCCAUUCAGGGGUUCCCUUGAAACUGACCAAGUUGAGUUUCCUGAGUUGGAUGCUUGGGAAACCUCCAACUUGGGUUUGAGGGUUCACAUGUGCAUUCAUGCACACAUACGUGCACAUGCAUGCACAUUCACGCACACACAUACAUGCACACACACGCACACAAUAAAUAAAGCAGAAUGAAAAAGCUGGAGGCACCCCAGUGUGCCCUAUUUACAAACCGCUUACUUCCUUCCGGGUGUUAUUUGAUUUUCUCCUUCACUGAGAAAUGGGGAGACAUCAGAAUGAGUGAUGUGCUGGAGAGAGGCCUCCCAACCAUCCCUCAGUCUCCCUCGCCCCCUCGGUCUCUUUCGUGUGACAGGAUGCCCUCAAUUACUCUCUCUGGGGGGGUCCCAGUCAGAAAGAAGAUGGAGCCAACCAUCUGUUACCGACUCAGUGAGCAAUUUAAUUUCCUCUUGUUCCCAGUGAGGAGGAUUUCGUAAGUACAUAAAUUAACGUCAGUCCUGCUUAAUCAGAAGCUGGCCGUCUAAAAGGGUGGAGACGGUCAAGCCAGAGACACCCACUGACCAGGUCCUACCAGGAGGACAUCUUGCACGCUGGUAGGAAAACCAUAUGAGAGAAAUGUCAGACACAGAAACUUCCUUAGGGAUCAUCGAAUCUGACACCUCUUUUAUAACUGAGGAAAUCAGAGCCAGAAAGGAAAAACAAUCUGUCUAGCUAGGCAGGGCAGAGUUAGGACUUGAACUAAAGAGCCCCAAUUCCCAAAAUCACUCUUCCCAACACAACACAAGGUAGAACAAUGACUUGAUUACUCGACCUUGGGUUUGAUCUCUAGAGGUAGAAUAAGAAAACAAUAGUCAUGAUAACAAUGACAACCUCAAGAGCUACACUGUAUGUAGCCGGCACUGAGAGAGGCAGACAGUGUGGAUUUAUUGAGUGGGCUCUGGAGCCAGGCUGCCUGGGUUUAAAUCCCAGUUCUGUCACUUACUAGCUGUUGGUCGGAGGGCAAGUUCUUAACCUCUGGGAUUUAGAGCAGACAUUCUGAGUUCGUGGCAUCUAUCCCUUCAGAUCCCUUCAGUACUUGCCUCUGAUCCAGCCCCACUUUCUAUGGCCAGCACCUGCAUCUUUGUUGCAGGGCUGUGCUUGGGCUUCCAGAACCCACUUUGUCAAUGUGCUCUUUGUCAAUGUGCAGGCCCAGUCUUCUGGGGGCAGCUUUGAACCAACGACCGACAGAUAAUGAGGGUAUAAAUGCCCCAACUCCCUUGCCUCUUGACUGGGAUAGUUCCAAGGCACGUGUUUUGCACUGUUUUUCACAGUUUCCCUGAAAGAUUAAGCACUAGUUACCCACUGUAGUAGCUGACUUAAUCAUGCGGUUAUUGGCUGGCUUCCCUUUUCUUGAUGUUACCCAUGCUCUUUGCACCUCUCCAGAAAUUAUUUCCACUUGAGAUCUUGUCUCAGGAUCUGUCUCUGGUUGGUUAGUCCAAGAUCAGACAGUGCCUCAGCUCUCUCAGCUAUAAAACUAUGAUAAUAAUAGUUCUUAUAUCACAGAGUUGUUACGGCUAAAUGGCCUAAAAUGCAAAGAACAAUGCCUGCCACUUAGUGAGAAUUCAACAAAUAUUAGCUAUGUGUCUGAUAAACACUUAUUUCAUUAUCUCAUUAAGUCCAUACUGUACAUACUAUUACUACCAUUAUACAAAUAAGACCAUCCAAGCUCAGAGAGGUUAAAUACUUCUCCCGAAGACCUGUAGUUGUAAGGAAAAUGUCAAGAUCCAAACACAAAUUCACUUUCAAAGUUCCUUCCAUUUUUGCCUUGGCCAGGAGGUUAUCCUCAGUACUCCCAGUCUGGGUCAAGGGUCCCUCCUCUUGUGCUCCUGCGACCUCAGCCACAGCAUUUGCUUCAGGGUAUUAAUAUGGCCCUCCUGCUCGUUGAACUGUUCCUUUAAGCUAUGAGCUAGGCAUCUCUGUAAGCUCAGCAUCUAGCCCAAUGCCCAGCACAUAGUAGGUUCUGGUGAGUGCUGAAUAAAUGACUACACAAAUCCAAGCAGUGCGUAAGCUGCAGAGGCAGGCAGAGGGUGAAGCCCGGCAUGAAAGUCUGUCUCAUGGCCUUCAGAUUUCAAUUGGAAGCAUCUUGGAAAUCUUCCCAGGCAAUUCUCUUCUCCUCCCACUCCUACUGCAGACAGGAUUUGCAAAUAUGGUUGGAUAGGUCUCUUGCGGGGGUUCCACAAUUUCAUCAAGGUGUCUAGUCCUCCCUAAAAUCUUGUCAGGAAGACAAGGAUCUCCCAGGUGACCACGUAGAGAUAAGCAGGAAUCUCAUCACAGUAACUGCUCCAUGUGAAGUCAUGCUGGACUGGCAGAAGCUUCCAAGGACUGUUACAAAAUAUGAGAAAAAGUAGGCAGGAGAUGAAAAGUGGGUUAAUGAGGCUGAAAAUACAGAUCUUCUAAUGAUAGUGAUGGUCUAAUCACCCCCAGCUCUUUUGAAUGCUUUAUACAGACGGGCCUCAACAUAUUGUUUAAGAAUCCACAUUCUGGAGUCAACAUUGCCUGAGUUUGAAUCUUUCUCUGUCACUUACUAGCUGUGUGGUCCUGGACAAAUUAUUCAGUCUCUCUGUGCCUCAUUUGUCUUACUUGUAAAAUGGGCAUGAUACCUACUUUCCUCACAGGAUUGCAUAAAUAAAUAGCAUGUAAAAUGCUGGGGCCAGUGGUCUCGCACAGAGUAAGCAAGUAGGCAAUUGCUGGUUUUUACCAGGCACUGAAUAACACUUAAAGUAAUAAAGAGUGGACUAAGACAAUCUCUGUUCUCAAAAAGCUCAGAAUCUAGGGUUCAGGUCACUAAACUUUUUUGAUUAUAUACCCCUUCUAUAAUAAAGAGCUUGAGCAUGUUCCUCCAAUAAAUGUUUCUUUACUGAAGGGAGAUGAACAAUGAAACCAAGAAGAAGGUACUGAGGAGUACAGAGAAGCAGUAUUCAGCCCAGCCCUGGGGGUGGUGACCAGUGGAAGUCAUGAAAGGCUUCCUGGAGGAGGUGAUACUUGAACUAAAUGCCAUUUCCCCAGAGAAGCAGUCUGACCCUCAAGACUUGAUUAGGCCCAUCUAUUAUUUGUUCUCAAUGCAACCUACAUUUUCCUGCCUGCGACUUCAUAGCAAAUUGUAAGUAAUUAUGUAUGUAAUUAGUCCCCAUGUAUUAGGCAGAAUUCUGUCAUAUGCAAAUGACAGAAAACUCAAACUAGCUGGAACGAAAAGAGUGGAAUGUCUUGGGUAGCUGGAAAGGGUGUGAGUGCGACUCAGAAUGGAAGGACAGACGGAUUGCAGCCACCGGGGCCUCAGGGAGAGGACAGGGUCUCCACACAGUCAGAUUCUUUCUCUCUCCUCAUCUCUGAGGUUUGCUUGACCUCCUCUGCUAAUACUGCACAUAUGGAGGGAACAUGGUCACUGGCAUCUCCAGGUCCACACCUCACAGCUGCUGGAAAGGUGUGAUCCCCCUGCAUGAGUCAAAUACCCACCCACAGAACUGUCUCCACCUAGGACGUGGAGAUGGGCUACUGUGAAUGGCUGGGCCGUGGUCAUGUGCUCACCCUGCUCAGCACUGCCACUGAGAGGGCCCUCAGUGUCACAUGACCUGGAAGGGCAGUGCUACUCCUCAAAGGAUGUGUUAGGGUGCGGCAGGCCCACAACAUUUGUAUCUUUUUUAAUGCUAUAUCCCCCACAAAUACUUACAGAUAUUUUCUACUAGGUGUCAGCCACUGUUCUAGGUAGUAGAGGAUAUGAAAGUAAAAUCUAAGUUCUUGCUUGCAUUAGAGCUUAUACUGGAAUGGGGGAAGACAGAAAGCAAGCAUGUUAAUAAUCACAAAUGUCUCAGGUGGUGAUAUGUGCUCUGGAGAAGAACAAAACCGGGUACAGAGGGUGGGGGAUGGUGAAGGGACACUAUAUUCCGCAGCAUGGUUAGAGAUGGCAUGUUGAAAGUGGCACAGGCAGUACCAGAUGGUGAGGCUCUUCCGUGUUGUUCUGAUGGAUUGGAACUGAGUCCUCCUGCCCGGCUUUCUCCCUCCUUUUCUUCUCUCCCUUCCUCUGUUCAUUCUUUUGCAGUUUUUCUUAAAAUGUAGUCUUUAGAUUGUAUGUAUCAGAAUACCCACUGGGGGCAGGAUACUUGUCAAAAAUGCAGGUUCCCAGGCCUCUCCCAAGACCCAGAGAUUCAGACUCUCCGAGGUGAGGCCUGAGAAUCUGAAUCAUUAACCAGCUCUCCAGGCGGCUCUUAGGCACAUUCACAUUUGACAACUAUUCUCUGAGGUGGUAAUGAGAUAAGAGAGGCUCUGAAUAGGGAAGAAAACUGAUCUCACUUGUGUUUUAGAAAGAUAGGUCUGAAAUCUACACAGAGGGUGGCUGCAGGCCCAGAGACUGGGCUGUUGUCGAGGUCCCAGAGACCAAGAGAAAACAUGUGGCCAGAGGUGCUGGGACAGAGAGAAUGUUUAGGUGACAAAUGGAAAGGAACUGGUGACUGCUUGAGUGUGGGGAUGAAGGAGAAGAAGUGGUUCAAAGGCUUCCUCUGGUCUGACUAGGGUAUGUGGGGGUAGCAAUACCAUUCACCCAAAUGGGAAGUGCAAACAUCGCUGACACUGCACUUCUUUAUUUAAAUACUCUACAACCAAGAAGUAAUUUUAGAGUCCCAUAUUAGAGGAGUAGCUUUUGACUACAUUGAGCAGUUGGAUACAAACGUUCUUAAUUGUUUAUUUUCUUUCUUAUCUUCCUAGUAUUUCUACUUUUUUGAGCUUCUGAACCUUUACCCAAAAGGAGUUGGUGUUAACGACUUGUUUUUGUAAUCUCUGAUAUUAGUGUGAUUCAUUUGCCAAGGGGAGACCAUUAAGAAGGAGCCAACUUCAUCUCCAUGGCAUGGAGUGAGAGGUGGGGAAUGAUACUGAAGAGCUAAGAGAUUCAAUGCACUAAGAAUAUGGUGACCAGAACUUCUGGUUGUUCCAACUGGGAAUCUUGGGUGAAGUUGGCUGCUCUGUUGGAGAAAGCUCCCCAUUCCCACAUACCUGUAUAGAAUCCUGUAGGAUAGGGGAUAUUUCCUUAUCUCUCUUCACUCUCCUCCAAAGCUCCAAUGGAUGUAUUCUAGGUACAACUAGCUAAUAAUUGAGUGUAAGAAUUAUAUUAGAUAAUGCUUAAAAAAUUCUUGGCACUCCAUGCCACUCCACUUCAUUUCCUCAAUGAAGGAGGCUGGGCAGAUAUUACUAGCCUCCUUCUACACAUUCAGAGAAAUGAAGUGACUUGCCUGCGAUCACAGAGCCAAGAUAAAGAUCUGGCUUCAAAUCUUGGCCAGUUGUAUUUUAAAGUUUCUGUGUUUUUCACCACAGAGUAGGUGAGGCUGGGCAAACUGUGAGGACCUCAGUUAAACAGGCUGGUGCUGGGGAUGGCUUCUAUGCCAGGAGGAAAGAUCAUGACUAGUCUGAGAAGCUGAAGCAGCAGCCAUCUGAUCCUCUACUCCAUGGUGGCCCUUUCCAGACUACAGACUGUGGUUUCUCUGCUCAUCAGCAAUCAAAUCUAAAUUAUCUCCGAUAUUUGUUCAAUAACUCAGACGUGCUAAGGUUAGCUGUCUUAUAAAUUAUGGAACAGUUUAACUGAGUUAAGCCUGAGGCAUAAAUAACAGAGACUCUCCACCCAGUGACAGGGCACAAGGCUGGAGGCAGCAAAAACACAGUAAUAGUGACAGAAAAAAGGACUAUCUUCCUCUUUUAGGAGAAGCCUGACAGGGAGGAGGAAAGUAGAUGAGAAGGGGGCUAGGCAGGAGGGAAUUCCAGGACGAGGGGAUGACAGAGCAAAGGAAACAGGCCCUGGGGAAGAGGAGGAGCUUUGUGGAGGCAGAAGCUCAGUUUACUGGUGAACAUGAAAUCAUCCUUGGGGGUGUCUGUGGGACGUCCAGUGGAGGUGUCUGAUGAGUGCCUGAACACAUGGGUUACCGCUUCUCUGUUAAAAUGUGGGAAACAGCUAUAAUGCAUAAGAUAUGAGUGGUAGCUACGACCAUGGGGGAAAAACAAGGUCAUGGAAAGCAUAUAGA
Molecule: long non-coding RNA, 14321 nt
Filed under: Homo sapiens (human)
Lineage: Eukaryota; Metazoa; Chordata; Mammalia; Primates; Hominidae
Description: HSALNT0292491
Source: RNAcentral